AUUGAACGCUGGCGGCAGGCCUAACACAUGCAAGUCGAACGAGUGGCGGACGGGUGAGCAAUGACUGGGAAACUGCCUGAUGGAGGGGGAUAACUACUGGGAACGGUAGCUAAUACCGCAUACCAUCAGAUGUGCCCAGUUUGGAUUAGCUAGUUGGUGGGGUAACGGCCCACCAAGGCGACGAGCCGUAGCUGGUCUGAGAGGAUGACCAGCCACACUGGAACUGAGACACGGUCCAGACUCCUACGGGAGGCAGCAGUGGGGAAUAUUGGACAAUGGGCGCAAGCCUGAUGCAGCCAUGCCGCGUGUAUGAAGAAGGUCUUCGGAUUGUAAAGUACUUUCAGCGGGGAGGCGUUACCCGCAGAAGAAGCACCGGCUAACUCCGUGCCAGCAGCCGCGGUAAUAC
This 406-nucleotide ribosomal RNA is filed under the name uncultured bacterium. Its description in RNAcentral is "partial 16S ribosomal RNA". It matches the Rfam family "Bacterial small subunit ribosomal RNA", at positions 30 to 526 of the family's 1533-position model. The record is from RNAcentral.